UGAAAAUUUUAAUUUUUUUAUUUUUCAAAAUUUGAAAUCUUAUCCCCUAAACCUCAUUUCUCAACUCUAAACCCUAAACCAUAAACUCUAAACCCUAAACCAUAAACUCUAAACCCUAAACUCUAAACCCUAAACCCUAAACUCUAAACCCUAAACCCUAAACCCUAAACUCUAAACUCUAAACCCUAAACCCUAAACCCUAAACUCUAAAAUCUAAAUCCUAAACCCUAAACUCUAAACCCUAAACCCUAAACCCUAAAUCCUAAACCCCACCCUUUAACUCUAAACCCUAAGUUUGUGACUUUUGAUAAAACAUUAAGUGCUAUUUUUGUAACUUUUGACCUUGAGUGCUAGUUUGGAAACAUAA
Molecule: long non-coding RNA, 367 nt
Filed under: Brassica napus (rape)
Lineage: Eukaryota; Viridiplantae; Streptophyta; Magnoliopsida; Brassicales; Brassicaceae
Description: long non-coding RNA (BNAP_LNC022666)
Source: RNAcentral